GCCAGUCGGUCCCUGCUCGGAGGAAUCGCGAUCGAGCUCGUUGCGCGGUACGUUUCGGCGUGUCGCGCGGCGAAGACGCGACUCUCUGGCUGACGGCGGACAGUAAGCAACGGUGUCCGGCGUCGUGUCUCGCACUCGACGUCCGGUGCCGGUCKGCGACGAUUUCUUCGGGCCUCUUUCCGACCCGUCUUGAAACACGGACCAAGGAGUCUAACAUGCGCGCGAGUCGCGGGGCAUCGAGCGUACCGCACGGUGCGCUCGUCAUAUGCGAAACCCGUCUCUGAAAGGCGUAAUGAAAGUGAACAGGGAAGAUGGCGUUCCGAGACCACGUACCGUGAUCGAGUGUCGCGGCCGGACGUCCGCACUCCCGGGGCGUCUCAAUGGCUCGUCGCGGACGCGGACGAUCGUCUCUCCGGGGACGGUGGUCGGUCUGCGUCGGACCGAGGCGCACCUACAGCGUGCACGUUGGUACCCGAAAGAUGGUGAACUAUGCCUGGCCAGGAUGAAGUCAGGGGAAACCCUGAUGGAGGUCCGCAGCGAUUCUGAC
RNAcentral lists this ribosomal RNA (547 nucleotides) under Pseudaulacaspis pentagona. RNAcentral describes it as "eukaryotic LSU rRNA". It matches the Rfam family "Eukaryotic large subunit ribosomal RNA", at positions 604 to 890 of the family's 3401-position model. The record is from RNAcentral. Lineage: Eukaryota; Metazoa; Arthropoda; Insecta; Hemiptera; Diaspididae.